Molecule: transfer RNA, 72 nt
Filed under: Strigamia maritima
Lineage: Eukaryota; Metazoa; Arthropoda; Chilopoda; Geophilomorpha; Linotaeniidae
Rfam family: tRNA
About the family: Transfer RNA (tRNA) molecules are approximately 80 nucleotides in length. Their secondary structure includes four short double-helical elements and three loops (D, anti-codon, and T loops).
Source: Rfam by way of RNAcentral
GGUGCUGUGGCGCAGUGGUUAGCGUGAUAGUCUAUCAAACUUUUGGCCCGGGUUCGCCGCCCCGAAGGGCUA